ACGUAGGGUGCAAGCGUUGUCCGGAAUUAUUGGGCGUAAAGAGCUCGUAGGCGGUCUGUCGCGUCGGCUGUGAAAACCCAGGGCUCAACCCUGGGCCUGCAGUCGAUACGGGCAGACUAGAGUCCGGCAGGGGAGACUGGAAUUCCUGGUGUAGCGGUGAAAUGCGCAGAUGUCAGGAGGAACACCGGUGGCGAAGGCGGGUCUCUGGGCCGGAACUGACGCUGAGGAGCGAAAGCGUGGGGAGCGAACAGGA
RNAcentral lists this ribosomal RNA (253 nucleotides) under uncultured prokaryote. RNAcentral describes it as "partial 16S ribosomal RNA". It matches the Rfam family "Bacterial small subunit ribosomal RNA", at positions 525 to 777 of the family's 1533-position model. The record is from RNAcentral.